CCUACGGGAGGCAGCAGUGGGGAAUAUUGGACAAUGGGCGAAAGCCUGAUCCAGCCAUGCCGCGUGUGUGAAGAUGGCCUUCGGGUUGUAAAGCACUUUCAGUGGGGAAGAAAGCCUUGGGGCUAAUACCCUCGAGGAAGGACAUCACCCACAGAAGAAGCACCGGCUAACUCCGUGCCAGCAGCCGCGGUAAUACGGAGGGUGCGAGCGUUAAUCGGAAUUACUGGGCGUAAAGCGCGCGUAGGCGGUCUGAUAAGCCGGUUGUGAAAGCCCCGGGCUCAACCUGGGAACGGCAUCCGGAACUGUCAGGCUAGAGUGCAGGAGAGGAAGGUAGAAUUCCCGGUGUAGCGGUGAAAUGCGUAGAGAUCGGGAGGAAUACCAGUGGCGAAGGCGGCCUUCUGGACUGACACUGACGCUGAGGUGCGAAAGCGUGGGUAGCAAACAGGAUUAGAUACCCCUGUAGUC
RNAcentral lists this ribosomal RNA (465 nucleotides) under Vreelandella stevensii. Its description in RNAcentral is "partial 16S ribosomal RNA". It matches the Rfam family "Bacterial small subunit ribosomal RNA", at positions 338 to 795 of the family's 1533-position model. Lineage: Bacteria; Pseudomonadati; Pseudomonadota; Gammaproteobacteria; Oceanospirillales; Halomonadaceae. The record is from RNAcentral.